AGCCACAGCCAUAUCACCCUGCAGCCCAGGACCGGUUACUCACUGAAGCUAAGCAGGGCUGAGCCUGGUUAGUACCUGGAAUGGAGACCACUAUGGAACACUAGGUUGCUGUUGGAA
RNAcentral lists this ribosomal RNA (117 nucleotides) under Danio rerio (zebrafish). Lineage: Eukaryota; Metazoa; Chordata; Actinopteri; Cypriniformes; Danionidae. The record is from RNAcentral.